UACGGGGGGAGCAAGCGUUGUUCGGAUUUACUGGGCGUAAAGGGCGCGUAGGCGGCGCAACAAGUCACUUGUGAAAUCUCCGGGCUUAACCCGGAGCGGCCAAGUGAUACUGUCGUGCUAGAGUGCGGAAGGGGCUACUGGAAUUCUCGGUGUAGCGGUGAAAUGCGUAGAUAUCAGGAGGAACACCAAUGGCGAAGGCAGCUCGCUGGGACGUGACUGACGCUGAGACGCGAAAGCUAGGGGAGCAAACGGG
Molecule: ribosomal RNA, 253 nt
Filed under: uncultured bacterium
Lineage: Bacteria
Description: partial 16S ribosomal RNA
Rfam family: Bacterial small subunit ribosomal RNA
Source: RNAcentral